UAACGCGUGGGAAUCUGCCUAGCAGUGGGGAAUAACCGAGGGAAACUUCGGCUAAUACCGCAUACGCCCUUCGGGGGAAAGAUUUAUCGCCUUUGGAUGAGCCCGCGUAGGAUUAGCCAGUUGGUGAGGUAAUGGCUCACCAAGGCGACGAUCGGUUGCUGGUCUGAGAGGAUGACCAGCCUCACUGGGACUGAGACACGGCCCAGACUCCUACGGGAGGCAGCAGUGGGGGUUAUUGGACAAUGGGCGCAAGCCUGAUCCAGCCAUGCCGCGUCAGUGAUGAAGGCCUUAGGGUUGU
Molecule: ribosomal RNA, 298 nt
Filed under: uncultured Sphingomonadaceae bacterium
Lineage: Bacteria; Pseudomonadati; Pseudomonadota; Alphaproteobacteria; Sphingomonadales; Sphingomonadaceae
Description: partial 16S ribosomal RNA
Rfam family: Bacterial small subunit ribosomal RNA
Source: RNAcentral